UCUUAAUAAAGUUAAGUAGCUAGAAAGGAGAAGCACAGCCAGCACUGGAGAACUGUUGAACUCUCUCUGGACCACCACAGUGUUCCACAAGCCAACCUGGGAACAGCUGACCCAGACCAUUCUCCUGCCAAUCAAUGAUUUGAUCCCCAUAAAAGCAUGAAAAGAAAGAUGAAUCAACGGGGAUUAUUUACCCAAAGCUUACAAUGUAUUCCAAGACCAGGAAGUCUGUGCAAAAUGCAACAACUGUCUCCAACUAGAUCAUCCUUUCUUCAGGUAUGUGCCAUGGAACAGAGGCAUAUUUACAACGGAGCUGUGGAUGCUGAAGCUGCAUGGGUUCCUUCUUUGCUUGGGUUAAGUCCCACCUUAAGUGAAGUCUAGAGAAGUACCUGCACAGUUCUAAAAAUUAACUUUAACAGGUGCCACACUGUACUUCAUUGGGAUCAUACUAUACAUUAAAAACAAUAAAUUUGCUGUCUCCACAUUUAACAUGAAAUUAAUUUGAAUACAUUCACUUUCUUAACUACAAGAGUGUAAUUUAGAGCAAAAAGCUAUUAUUUAGCUAUUAUGCACACCACAUGAUUUAAUCUGAAAGGUGGUAUAUAUGCUCAGAUCAUCCACACAAAUUUCGGCCAAUAUUUCACAUAGCGUUAUACAGCCUUUGCCAAAUGCAGUGUUACACUAAACAGCCAUGAGAUUUGCAGUUGUACAGGCCCUUUAUUCUCUGAUGGAGCCAGUUUCUGGUAAGCAACUCAGAGAAAAUGGGCUCCAUUAAGGUACAUGAUUUCCAAUAUCAUGUCAAAAAUUACUGCUAUAAAUCCUGUGUUCCUCUGCCUGCAAGCACUUGCUAAAUUGUAAGCUUCAGGUCACGUAAAAUAUUAAGGGGGUAUUGACAUAUUUGUUUGAAAGCUGUUUUUUUCUUGUUUGAAUAUAAGUCAACUGUCCUCUUGUAAAAGGAAAAAGUUAAAAGUGGAUAGUUUGGCCUCCUCCAGCAAAACACGUAAGAAAAGAAAACAUUAUCGGCCAUGACUUAAUUACAGAAAACGAACAGAAUCAGUUACUGAA
Oxyura jamaicensis (ruddy duck) is the source of this 1062-nucleotide long non-coding RNA. RefSeq lists it as uncharacterized. The record is from RefSeq and is a predicted model, not a curated record. Lineage: Eukaryota; Metazoa; Chordata; Aves; Anseriformes; Anatidae. The transcript is spliced from 3 exons.